Molecule: small nuclear RNA, 164 nt
Organism: Otolemur garnettii (small-eared galago)
Lineage: Eukaryota; Metazoa; Chordata; Mammalia; Primates; Galagidae
Gene: U1
Rfam family: U1 spliceosomal RNA
About the family: U1 is a small nuclear RNA (snRNA) component of the spliceosome (involved in pre-mRNA splicing).
Source: Ensembl
AUACUUAACUGGCAGGGGAGAUACCAUGAUCAUGAAGGUGGUUUUCCCAGGGUGAGGCUCAUCCAUUGCACUCCAGAUGUGCUGACCCCUGUGAUUUUCCCAAACGCAGAAAACUCAACUGCAUAAUUUGUGGUAGUGGGGGACUGUGUUUGCACUAUCCCCUG